This 719-nucleotide ribosomal RNA is filed under the name uncultured Acidobacteriota bacterium. Its description in RNAcentral is "bacterial SSU rRNA". It matches the Rfam family "Bacterial small subunit ribosomal RNA", at positions 8 to 760 of the family's 1533-position model. Lineage: Bacteria; Pseudomonadati; Acidobacteriota. The record is from RNAcentral.
AGAGUUUGAUCCUGGCUCAGAAUCAACGCUGGCGGCGCGCUUAACACAUGCAAGUCGAACGAGAAAGGGGAGCAAUCCCUGAGUAAAGUGGCGUACGGGUGAGUAACACGUGGGUAAUCUACCUCUGGGUGGGGAAUAACCCUGGGAAACCGGGGCUAAUACCGCAUAAUACCGCAAGGUCAAAGGCGCAAGUCGCCUGGAGAGGAGCCCGCGGCUGAUUAGCUAGUUGGUGAGGUAAAGGCUCACCAAGGCAAUGAUCGGUAGCCGGCCUGAGAGGGCACACGGCCACACUGGCACUGAAACACGGGCCAGACUCCUACGGGAGGCAGCAGUGGGGAAUCUUGCACAAUGGGGGAAACCCUGAUGCAGCGACGCCGCGUGAGUGAUGAAGCCCUUCGGGGUGUAAAGCUCUUUCGGCAGGGACGAUAAUGACGGUACCUGAAGAAGAAGCUGCGGCUAACUACGUGCCAGCAGCCGCGGUAAUACGUAGGCAGCGAGCGUUGUUCGGAGUUACUGGGCGUAAAGAGUGCGUAGGCGGUUUUCUAAGUUUGGUGUGAAAUCUCCCGGCUUAACUGGGAGGGUGCGCCGAAGACUGGAAGGCUUGAGUAUGGGAGAGGUAAGCGGAAUUCCUGGUGUAGCGGUGAAAUGCGUAGAUAUCACGAGGAACACCUGCGGUGUAGACGGCUUACUGGACCAUAACUGACGCUGAGCACGAAAGC